Molecule: ribosomal RNA, 253 nt
Filed under: uncultured bacterium
Lineage: Bacteria
Description: partial 16S ribosomal RNA
Rfam family: Bacterial small subunit ribosomal RNA
Source: RNAcentral
UACGUAGGGUGCAAGCGUUGUCUGGAAUUACUGGGCGUAAAGCGCACGUAGGCGGAUUUGUUAGUCAGGGGUGAAAUCCCGGGGCUCAACCUCGGAACUGCCUUUGAUACUGCAAGUCUCGAGUCCGAUAGAGGUGGGUGGAAUUCCUAGUGUAGAGGUGAAAUUCGUAGAUAUUAGGAAGAACACCGGUGGCGAAGGCGGCCCACUGGAUCGGUACUGACGCUGAGGUGCGAAAGCGUGGGGAGCAAACAGG